Molecule: unclassified non-coding RNA, 310 nt
Filed under: plant metagenome
Description: partial contains 5.8S ribosomal RNA, internal transcribed spacer 2, and large subunit ribosomal RNA
Rfam family: 5.8S ribosomal RNA (bases 1-105)
Source: RNAcentral
GAAAUGCGAUAAGUAGUGUGAAUUGCAGAAUUCAGUGAAUCAUCGAAUCUUUGAACGCACAUUGCGCCCCUUGGUAUUCCAUGGGGCAUGCCUGUUCGAGCGUCAUUUGUACCCUCAAGCUCUGCUUGGUGUUGGGUGUUUGUCCCCGUCUCCGCGCGUGGACUCGCCCCAAAGUGAUUGGCAGCCGGCGUACUGGUCCCGGAGCGCAGCACAUGUCGCGCAAACGAGUGCCUUGGUACGGCGGCGUCCAUAAGCUCCUCUCUCACGCUCUUGACCUCGGAUCAGGUAGGGAUACCCGCUGAACUUAAGC